CCUACGGGAGGCAGCAGUGGGGAAUUUUGGACAAUGGGCGCAAGCCUGAUCCAGCAAUGCCGCGUGCAGGAUGAAGGCCUUCGGGUUGUAAACUGCUUUUGUACGGAACGAAACGGCGAGCUCUAAUAAAGUUCGCUAAUGACGGUACCGUAAGAAUAAGCACCGGCUAACUACGUGCCAGCAGCCGCGGUAAUACGUAGGGUGCAAGCGUUAAUCGGAAUUACUGGGCGUAAAGCGUGCGCAGGCGGUGAUGUAAGACAGAUGUGAAAUCCCCGGGCUCAACCUGGGACCUGCAUUUGUGACUGCAUCGCUAGAGUACGGUAGAGGGGGAUGGAAUUCCGCGUGUAGCAGUGAAAUGCGUAGAUAUGCGGAGGAACACCGAUGGCGAAGGCAAUCCCCUGGACCUGUACUGACGCUCAUGCACGAAAGCGUGGGGAGCAAACAGGAUUAGAUACCCUGGUAGUCCACGCCCUAAACGAUGUCAACUGGUUNUUGGGUCUUCUACUGACUCAGUAACGAAGACACGACGUGAGUAGACCGCCGUGGAGGUACGGCCGCGAGUAGAACGUACGAAAGAAGUUAGACGACGUGAGACGUACGACCGACGGACGACGACGAGGGGAGGAGG
Molecule: ribosomal RNA, 628 nt
Filed under: uncultured bacterium
Lineage: Bacteria
Description: bacterial SSU rRNA
Rfam family: Bacterial small subunit ribosomal RNA (bases 1-542)
Source: RNAcentral